CAACGAUGACUCUUCCUAUCAUUGCGAUGCGUCCGUUGCAAAAGCGUCGGAUUUUUCGUUCGCUAAUAUCGAACUGAGCUGGGUUUAGACCGUCGUGAAACAGCUU
This 106-nucleotide non-coding RNA is filed under the name Hypsibius dujardini. The record is from Rfam by way of RNAcentral. Lineage: Eukaryota; Metazoa; Tardigrada; Eutardigrada; Parachela; Hypsibiidae.